Long non-coding RNA from Tupaia belangeri chinensis (Chinese tree shrew), 630 nucleotides. RefSeq lists it as uncharacterized. The transcript has 3 exons. The record is from RefSeq and is a predicted model, not a curated record. Lineage: Eukaryota; Metazoa; Chordata; Mammalia; Scandentia; Tupaiidae.
GUCUCAACGUUGUUUAGGAUUUUGGUAGAAAAAGAGAAAUAAAAAGUAAUUCAGAGUAGGACAUCAUCAUUUGUUGCAGGUGGUACUGUAUUCAAAAUUUGACCUCACUUUGAAAGAAGGGGAAUGGUGAACCAAAGACAUUUAGUGGACCAGUGAGAGCCGAUGCCAUCAGCUCACUUCCCACACCUGUUGUCCAAUCCGAGGGGAUGUCGAAAGUUUGUGGGAAAUGCAACAUCAAACCAAAAUGGAGGCACCCAGGCUAAUGCUCCACAUCACCACGCCAAAACUACGCACGCAGCUUGCCUGACCUGAGAAAUCAGGAGACGCAGAGAGAGGUCAUAGCCAAGUCCUCAAAACAGACCAUGUUCAGCCAGCAUGAUCGGGACGUACUCUCUGCUUAGCCUUGACAAGGAGAGUAGCCUUGAAAUGAUGAAUUGCCUUUUAGCUCUUUGUUCCUGCUUUCCUGUCUAUAAACACCGCCUGUGUCGUAGAGCAGAGCUCUCUGAACCUCUUCUGGUUCUGAGGAUUGCUCCAUUCAUGAACCGUUCUUUGCUGGAAUAAACCCUGUCAACUUGAAUUUUACUAACAUUUUCCUUUCAUCGAGCACAGAGAAGCACUGGGGCAUCCUCA